CAAUAGCGUAUAUUAAAGUUGUUGCGGUUAAAAGCUCGUAGUUGGAUUUCUGUCGAAGACUGCCGGUCCGCUCUAUGAGCGUGUAUCUGGUUAGGCUUUGGCAUCCUCUUGAAGAUCGUUGCUGCGCUUGAUUGCGUGGUGCGGAAUUCAAGACUUUUACUUUGAGGAAAUUAGAGUGUUCACGGCAGGCAAGCGCCAUGAAUACAUUAGCAUGGAAUAAUAAUAUAGGAUCUAGGUCCUAUUUUGUUGGUUUCUAGGACCAGGAUAAUGGUUAAUAGGGAUAAUUGGGGGCACUCGUAUCAUGACGUCAGAGGUGGAAUUCUUGGAUUGUCAUGCGACGAACUACUGCGAAAGCAUUUGCCAAGGAUGUUUUCAUUGAUCAAGAACGAAAGUAAGGGAUCGAAGACGAUCAGAUACCAU
This 420-nucleotide ribosomal RNA is filed under the name uncultured eukaryote. RNAcentral's name for it is "bacterial SSU rRNA". It matches the Rfam family "Eukaryotic small subunit ribosomal RNA", at positions 592 to 1018 of the family's 1831-position model. The record is from RNAcentral.